Molecule: long non-coding RNA, 256 nt
Filed under: Lathyrus oleraceus (garden pea)
Lineage: Eukaryota; Viridiplantae; Streptophyta; Magnoliopsida; Fabales; Fabaceae
Description: Pisum sativum (pea) long non-coding RNA (PSAT_LNC033530)
Source: RNAcentral
UGACUUGUUGAGUUUGACUUGUGUUGUUGGGCCUUGGUCAAGGUUGAUUUGACUUUGUUGAGUUAAGAUCAUUGGAUUUAGGGGAUUGAUGAAAUGUACAUUUCAUCUCCCAAAAUGAAUGAAUGAUCAUUGGUCAAGGUUGAUUUGACUUUGUUGAGUUAAGAUCAUUGGAUUUAGGGGAUUGAUGAAAUGUACAUUUCAUCUCCCAAAAUGAAUGAAUGAUCUUAAUUUGGUAAAAGUCCUCCUUUGACCAAUU